This 522-nucleotide ribosomal RNA is filed under the name uncultured Pelobacter sp. Its description in RNAcentral is "bacterial SSU rRNA". It matches the Rfam family "Bacterial small subunit ribosomal RNA", at positions 38 to 540 of the family's 1533-position model. The record is from RNAcentral. Lineage: Bacteria; Pseudomonadati; Thermodesulfobacteriota; Desulfuromonadia; Desulfuromonadales; Desulfuromonadaceae.
CCCGGCGUGCCUAACACAUGCAAGUCGAACGUGAAAAGGGGCAACCCUGAGUAAAGUGGCGUACGGGUGAGUAACACGUAGGUAAUCUACCUGAGAGUCUGGAAUAACCGGCCGAAAGGCUGGCUAAUACUGGAUAGAGCGAAGGAACUCGUAAAGAGUUUUUCGGGAAAGGGAGGAGGCAACUCCCCUCGCUUUCAGAUGAGCCUGCGUCUCAUUAGGUAGUUGGUGAGGUAACGGCUCACCAAGCCUUUGAUGGGUAGCUGGUCUGAGAGGAUGAUCAGCCACACUGGAACUGAAACACGGUCCAGACUCCUACGGGAGGCAGCAGUGCGGAAUCUUGCGCAAUGGACGAAAGUCUGACGCAGCCACGCCGCGUGAGUGAAGAAGGCCGUCGGGUUGUGAAGCUCUGUCGGAGGGGACGAAAAUGCUUAGGGUGAAUAGCCCUAGGAACUGACGGUACCCUUAAAGGAUGCACCGGCUAACUCUGUGCCAGCAGCCGCGGUAAUACAGUGGGUGCAAGCG